Long non-coding RNA from Heterocephalus glaber (naked mole-rat), 1597 nucleotides. The record is from Ensembl. Lineage: Eukaryota; Metazoa; Chordata; Mammalia; Rodentia; Bathyergidae.
CGCGUUUUCCUCUGGGGACAGGGCGAUCCCCGCCCUCUGGAGGUGCAGAUCAGUUUGCCCACGCUUUGCGACGAUAGGAAAAAAACAGGGACGAUGGGCACCAGAAAGGGAGGCCUCAGGGUCCAGCCUGCUGCAUAUCUGGUCCCCCGGGAGGGACUGUGAGUCUCCCUGCCCCGCCCCUUUUUCCUGCAGUUGCGGCGAGGGUGCCUCGAUGGAACCAAACCUGUUCAGGAAAUCUAAGAACUCGAGCGCAGUCCCGUGUGUAGACGAGAGCUGAGGGAGCCGCGAAGAAGGCUGAGAACAGCUACUCGCGGUCAAGGUCAUGGCGGGGGCAAGGUCACGGGCUCCCCUCUCUGCCCUGCACCCCGCCAGGUUACACAAACCAGCUGGCCCGGGUCUGUGUGGGAGGCGGAAGCUCGUGAGGGUGAAGGCUGCUGUGUGAGGCUAGUGAGGACAGGCCCUGCUGCCAGCGCGAAUCACGAGUUCCCUCCUGGAGAUGGUGAGCCGAAGCCAGCUAAAACACCACUGCUCUACUUGUCAAAUAACCAACUCCUCUCCUACUCGAGUCGUCGGUGGACAGCACCAUGUAGCAAGGAGAUUCAGCUCCUGCCUCCACUUCUGGAUCUACCUGAGAUGCUUAAUGCUUUUCCACUGUUUUAUUUACCUUGCUGUCCAUAUCUUACUUAAUAAGGGCAUCAUUUCUUGAUGUCUCAAAGAUGUUCACUUGUCUUUAACAAAAUAUUUUCUGGCCCCUCUGACAUUCACUUAUAUAUACUCAAAUCAUUUUUUCUCAUGAUUUAGAAAAAAAUAUUUUGCAAUGUGUGUUUGACAAAUGCCAUCUUGUGGUACAAAAUCCUCCCUUAUAAACGAGGGAGUGUGGAGACCGCGUGCGUGGGCUCCAGACUGCAGACUCAAUGCCUGUCUCUAAGCCAGGUACUUAAUCCCCGGAGCUUCUGUUCUUACCCAUCCCACUGCACAAACGAUGUUCCGAGUGGCUGCAAAGGUGGGCUGAGUUAACAGGUGUGCAGCGCUUAGAAGAGCACCCGGCUCACCUGGUGAAUGGCAGCUGUGAUCGUCGAAGUGUUAAUCAGCAGGUUGCUGUUGACAACAACCGCAGACCCGGGCAAUCCUGUCUUCAAUCACUGAUCGUUUCCAUCUCGGAAGGAGACACUUAGGGCUCUGUCCGUUGCUGUUUCUGCACACUGCUCUGCACUGGCCACACCCCAUUCCAGGCCUGCCCUUUUCCACAGGGCAAAGAAAGGUCCAUCACUGCUCUCCUGAACAGAUUUGAUUUCACUGCAUCACAGCGCCAGCCCCAGGACUUUGCCCUGGAAAUGAGGAGCAGAUCUGCUGGAUUUCUUCUGAAGACCUCAUUUCUUGCUUUCUCUUUGGACACUAUCAAUGCUGUUGCACACAGAGCUCCCUAACAAGCCCACGGGGUCAGAGCACUGUAUACUAAUUCACAUGGGCCUUAUCUUAUUUUUCUUACUCUUAUUUUCCUUCCACACCAACACUGUUUAUAAAAAUUCUCGUAUCGUGUAUAUUUUGUAAAUCACCCCAUAUCCUGUCUGGACAGGGUUGGACAGAAAACAAAAAG